This 292-nucleotide ribosomal RNA is filed under the name uncultured bacterium. Its description in RNAcentral is "partial 16S ribosomal RNA". It matches the Rfam family "Bacterial small subunit ribosomal RNA", at positions 505 to 796 of the family's 1533-position model. The record is from RNAcentral.
GUGCCAGCCGCCGCGGUAAUACGGAGGAUCCAAGCGUUAUCCGGAUUCAUUGGGUUUAAAGGGUGCGUAGGCGGAACGAUAAGUCAGUGGUGAAAGCCUGCAGCUUAACUGCAGAACUGCCAUUGAUACUGUCGAUCUUGAGUACAUUUGACGAGGGCGGAAUGUGUCAUGUAGCGGUGAAAUGCUUAGAUAUGACACAGAACACCGAUUGCGAAGGCAGCUCUCGAAACUGUAACUGACGCUGAGGCACGAAAGCGUGGGUAUCAAACAGGAUUAGAUACCCGCGUAGUCC